CGAUCCAAGGCCCUUGACGAAAUCAGCCUGGUUGCUGUCUUCUUCGUCAGCCUUUCAUUCCAGAUGAAGAACACCUUUGAAACCACCUCUAAAAAAUCCAAGAUCUGGUACCCAACCAGAUCAGACCUGGACCGAGGUCCUCUAAUUCAUAGAUCUCAAAUCAGGAUGUUCUAGAUAGGGUAGAAGAUAGAUGGAGAUAGACC
RNAcentral lists this long non-coding RNA (203 nucleotides) under Elaeis guineensis (African oil palm). RNAcentral's name for it is "long non-coding RNA (EGUI_LNC067814)". Lineage: Eukaryota; Viridiplantae; Streptophyta; Magnoliopsida; Arecales; Arecaceae. The record is from RNAcentral.